Camelus ferus (Wild Bactrian camel) is the source of this 73-nucleotide transfer RNA. It matches the Rfam family "tRNA". From Rfam's summary of the family: Transfer RNA (tRNA) molecules are approximately 80 nucleotides in length. Lineage: Eukaryota; Metazoa; Chordata; Mammalia; Artiodactyla; Camelidae. The record is from Rfam.
GAGGGUAUAGCUCAAGUGGCAGAUUGCAUGUUUAGCAUGCAUGAGGUCUGGGGUUCAAUCCCCAGUGCCUCCA